AAACAGAACACGGGUGAGGUGCCGUUUUGUCCGAAGCGACACAUUUGCAGAAGGCAGGGACUCCUGCGAGGAAAGCGUGGCCCGGCCCGUGUCUGGAGAUGGUGCGGGGCUCACGUCCCCGACCGUCACUGCCUGUGCACAGCCGCACGGCCAGUGCCCGGGCUGCCACCGCGCAGGCUGGGGGCCUCGCAAGCAAGCUCGAGGCCUUUGAAGUGCACACAGUUGGCGGCUUCCUGCCUGUGGCUGAUGCUGCUCGCAGACACCGAGAAAGGCCUGGCGUCCCUCCUAAGCGGCUCUUCCAAUAACUGCGUGUCCUCAGCCUUCCAUCCGAGACUCGCCUGCUGCUGGCCCGGGUCUCGCAGAAAAGAGCAUGGCGACUGUGCGUCAUCCUGACAGGGACGCCUGGAGAAGACAGGGCACCCCCCCCACCCGCUGGGCGCACAGCCCAGCCACUGGCGGGCGUCGGCUUCCUGUGGUGCCUUCUGCCAGACAAGGACCAACCUCAGAGGAGAUGGUGGCGCCCUGGAGGCAGUGGGCCGGGCAGGCGUGGCCCGAGGCUCCCCUCUGGGCGCCCCAUGGGGCCUCCACUCGCGCAGUCUCUGGGCUCCCCGCCUGGUGCUGUUGACACGCAGGAGCCACGUGACGGCUCUCAUCUGCUGGGAGGAUGGGGGCCGGCUGUGGGCCCGGCUUUUCCUGCCAAAGUCCCUCUUCCAGAGGGGACAGUGUCAGGCUGCCGCUCGGGAGGCCACGGUUGCCUUUGUGGUGCCGCUCACACCCCCUGUUUGAUAAACAGUCUCCUGAUGAGUAACGGCCCACCCUCUUCCUUCCCUGCACGCCUGACCCCCCGCCGUGAUGGUAAACGUGGCACAGGCACCCACGCCCUGCCGGAAACCCCAGGAUUCAUUUUGGGAAACGCUUUUACAAUUAAAGUCUUUCGAGAAAUUGC
Long non-coding RNA from Hyaena hyaena (striped hyena), 946 nucleotides. RefSeq lists it as uncharacterized. The transcript is spliced from 2 exons. The record is from RefSeq and is a predicted model, not a curated record. NCBI's taxonomy places the organism in Eukaryota, Metazoa, Chordata, Mammalia, Carnivora, Hyaenidae.